GUGAGUAGUUCAGAGUUUGAUCCUGGCUCAGGAUGAACGCUGGCGGCGUGCCUAACACAUGCAAGUCGAGCGAAACACUUAAGUUAGAUUCUUCGGAUGAAGACUUAUUUGAUUGAGCGGCGGACGGGUGAGUAACGCGUGGGUAACCUGCCUCAUACAGGGGGAUAGCAGUUGGAAACGACUGAUAAUACCGCAUAAGCGCACGGCAUCGCAUGAUGCAGUGUGAAAAACUCCGGUGGUAUGAGAUGGACCCGCGUCUGAUUAGCUAGUUGGUGGGGUAAUAGCCUACCAAGGCGACGAUCAGUAGCCGGCCUGAGAGGGUGAACGGCCACAUUGGGACUGAGACACGGCCCAA
Molecule: ribosomal RNA, 355 nt
Filed under: uncultured bacterium
Lineage: Bacteria
Description: bacterial SSU rRNA
Rfam family: Bacterial small subunit ribosomal RNA
Source: RNAcentral